AGGGUUCGAUUCCGGAGAGGGAGCCUGAGAAACGGCUACCACAUCUACGGAAGGCAGCAGGCACGAAAAUUGCCCAAUCCUGAUACAGGGAGGCAGUGACAAGAAAUAACAACUCUCAACUAUGUUGAGAAGUGUAAUGAGGAUAAUUUACAAACCUUACCGAAAGCAAUUGGAGGGCAAGUCUGGUGCCAGCAGCCGCGGUAAUUCCAGCUCCAAUAGCGUAUAUUAAAGUUGUUGCAGUUAAAAAGCUCGUAGUUGAAAUUCUGAUCGUAUGGGCCUCUGCACUUUGAUGCGAAGGUACCAGCGGACAUCCGCUUGCAAAUACAUGUCCUUCCUUCAUCGGUUGGCUGUAUGAGCAAGCAAUUUACCUUGAGAAAAACAGAGUGUUCCAGGCAGGCUUGUCCGGAAUGCAUUAGCAUGGAAUAAUAGAAUAUGACUGAAGUCGAUUUAUUGGUUUGAGGCUUUAGUAAUGAUUAAUAGGAACAGUCGGGGGCAUUAGUACUUGUCAGUCAGAGGUGAAAUUCGAGGAUUUGACAAAGACUAACUGAUGCGAAAGCAUUUGCCAAA
This 567-nucleotide ribosomal RNA is filed under the name uncultured eukaryote. RNAcentral's name for it is "SSU rRNA". It matches the Rfam family "Eukaryotic small subunit ribosomal RNA", at positions 372 to 962 of the family's 1831-position model. The record is from RNAcentral.